RNAcentral lists this long non-coding RNA (2006 nucleotides) under Mytilus galloprovincialis (Mediterranean mussel). Lineage: Eukaryota; Metazoa; Mollusca; Bivalvia; Mytilida; Mytilidae. The record is from RNAcentral.
UCUUUAGGAAGUAAUUUUUCAAUUUUAUAAAAUGACUAAAUCUUCCUUUUGUGGCAGUUGCGGUGGUAACAUGCUGAUGAAUGUAGGGCCAACAAAAGAAGGGAAAAUCAUGCCAAUAUUUGAAGAAAGACUACGUCAGUUUGGCCAAUGGUUGAAGGUCAAUGGAGAGGGAGUUUAUAGCACGGUCCAUGGAGUCACCAGAAAGAUACAGUAACCAAAAAUAUAUGGUAUAAGUAUUAUUAAAUUGUACUACAUAACAGAGAACAAGAAAUACAAAAGACAAAUUAACGACUUGAAUAUUCAUUCGAAUACAUUGAUAAAUUUUAGCAAGACAAAAAGAAGUAACAGAACCGUAAAAGGGGAAAGGUAGAGGAUCGAUAUAUAUAACGGGAGCAGUUGUCAUUCCGAAUUCCUGAAAGAAAAAUAAAGAAUAGCUGAAUCCAGAAUUCCCGGGAAAAAAUCAUUCUUUUCGGAUCCUCAAGAAAAAAAACAUCAUUUAUUUCCGAGACCCGAUAAGUGUAAACCGCGAAUUCCCUAAAAAUCAAAAGCCCAAUCCCGACGUCGCAAUCAAAAUUCCUCCACGCCUGUUGUGGUAUAGAUGUCUUCUAUUAAAAAUGUCUAUUUUUUAAAUUUCAAGAUAAAGUUGAAUAUAUUUUUUACUGGUUUAUUCCUUUCCUGCUGGCAACCAAAUGAUUGUUGAAUUAAAAUUUUGAAUAAUGGCAAAAAAAAAACAAUUGCAUGAGCAUCGUAAAAUACUAAGACAUAAAUGAGUAAAUCUUUUGGCUCUCUGCAUGAAUGAUACACUUGAUUUAUGAUUGAAUGAAUCUCUUAGAUAUGUUGUUUUUACAGGUAUACUAAACGGGAAAUGGAGAGUGAGGGAACUGUAGUUUAUGUAUUUCUUCUUUCUUGGCCUACAGACGAAGUUUUGAAAUUAGGAGCACCGAUCCCUUCACAACAGACAGAGGUCAGCAUGCUCGGUUACCCAGACAAAUUUAUCUGGAAAGCUGGCACAGGAGGCCAAGGAAUUAAUGUCACUAUACCAAUUAUACCGUGGAACAAACUACCAUGCGAAUGGGCAUGGCUUCUUAAGCUAAGUCACAUAACAAAUUAGACUAUAAGGUGUGAUUGAUGCUUGGUUAGGAUAUGUGUAAUCAUGUAAAGAAUACGUGUGCCAUAAACAACAAUUGUCAUAAGAGCAUAAUACAAGUCUUUAAAUCAUGACUUUGUUUACCAUAGUGCUUUCAUGAAACUCUUUUGUCACAUCAAGAUUACGAAACUUUUUCGAUUGAAAAGUCGAAUGGAUAACAUAUUUUCUUUUUAAACCAUGAUGUUUAAUAUAUUUUUAUAAUGUUUCAUUGUUGCACUUAUUUUGUGUUUUUGCCCUGCCAAUAUUUAUUCCAUUCAUUUAUUUCCGUGCACCAUGUAUACUUGAAACGAUUUGUCUGUGAUGAAUUGACGCAUUUGAAUCUCAGUUUAUAUACUUUCCUUGUGAAAUUAAUCAUUGUUAGUGCAUAAAUAUUUGUCUGUACAUUAUUGUAUAUUGUCUAAAUGUAUUAGUUACUAAAUAAAAUAAAAGAGGGUGUCUCCAUAUCUCGACAAUACUGUUUUUAAGGUUGUUUUGAUUAUUAACAUUUCUAAUAUUGACAUUAAUAUUUCUUUUAUUUCUAGCAAUGUGCAAUUUACUAUCCAUAUCUGUAUAAUGAAUAAUUAUCAAUUUGCAGUUUUCUAUCCAUAUCCGUAUACUGAAUAGAAUUUGUCCGGCGGCGUUAUCCAUGGUUAAUUAUAAGAACUCGGUUUGACUUAGCAGAUUAAAAUUUUGUUUAUAAUUAUUGUUCAAAUCUGUUUCGUAUUUCCUGUCUAUUUGUAUAACAUUAUUAACAUUUCUAAUAUUGGCAUUACUAUUUCUUUUAUUUCUAGCAAUUUGGAGUUUACUAUCCAUAUCUGUUUAAUGAAUAAUUAUCAAUGUGCAGUUUACUAUCCAUAUCCGUAUACUGAAUAGUUUUUGU